UUGCUUCCACAACACACAUACUAAAAUUGCAACAAUGCAGAGAAGAUUAGCAUUGCCCCUGUGUGAGGAUGGCACACAAAUACAAUAGCAUGAAAAGAAUAAA
Lutra lutra (Eurasian river otter) is the source of this 103-nucleotide small nuclear RNA. The record is from RefSeq and is a predicted model, not a curated record. Lineage: Eukaryota; Metazoa; Chordata; Mammalia; Carnivora; Mustelidae.